RNAcentral lists this long non-coding RNA (263 nucleotides) under Salmo salar (Atlantic salmon). RNAcentral describes it as "lncRNA (ENSSSAG00000094068.1)". Lineage: Eukaryota; Metazoa; Chordata; Actinopteri; Salmoniformes; Salmonidae. The record is from RNAcentral.
AUGGGAUGUCACAGCCCCCUUCUCCUAGCAGCGGGAACCAUCUCCUACAGAGUUGUUGCGAGGCGCGGGUCACCUGCUGUGCUACAUGACUGCACAUCCCCAGGAACAAGAUUAUAUUUGGAACAACAAGCUCUACAGUCAACCCACAGAUUCCCCUGACAUCCUCCAGCCUGCAGCCAUAGUUCUAUCAGCUCUCUCCUCAGCCUUACUGCAGCAUAUUAACGCUUCUCACAGAGUCAUAUGGUAAGUGACAGAAACGCCUU